GUCCUCAGACCACUAUAAUACACUAGUAGUAGUAUCUCAGAUCAGGGUAAUGUGUCCUCAGACCACUAUAAUACACUAGUAGUAGUAUCUCAGAUCAGGGUAAUGUGUCCUCAGACCACUAUAAUACACUAGUAGUAGUAUCUCAGAUCAGGGUAAUGUGUCCUCAGACCACUAUAAUACACUAGUAGUAGUAUCUCAGAUCAGGGUAAUGUGUCCUCAGACUACUAUAAUACACUAGUAGUAGUAUCUCAGAUCAGGGUAAUGUGUCCUCAGACUACUAUAAUACACUAGUAGUAGUAUCUCAG
Oncorhynchus keta (chum salmon) is the source of this 305-nucleotide long non-coding RNA. RefSeq lists it as uncharacterized. NCBI's taxonomy places the organism in Eukaryota, Metazoa, Chordata, Actinopteri, Salmoniformes, Salmonidae. The record is from RefSeq and is a predicted model, not a curated record. The transcript is spliced from 3 exons.